GAUGAACGCUAGCUACAGGCUUAACGCAUGCAAGUCGAGGGGAAACGAUAGAGAAAGCUUGCUUUUUCUAGGCGUCGACCGGCGCACGGGUGAGUAACGCGUAUCCAACCUGCCCACCACUUGGGGAUAACCUUGCGAAAGUAAGACUAAUACCCAAUGACGUCUCUAGAAGACAUCUGAAAGAGAUUAAAGAUUUAUCGGUGAUGGAUGGGGAUGCGUCUGAUUAGCUUGUUGGCGGGGUAACGGCCCACCAAGGCGACGAUCAGUAGGGGUUCUGAGAGGAAGGUCCCCCACAUUGGAAACUGAGACACGGUCCAAACUCCUACGGGAGGCAGCAGUGAGGAAUAUUGGUCAAAUGGACGAGAGUCUGAACCAGCCAAGUAGCGUGCAGGAUGACGGCCCUAUGGGUUGUAAACUGCUUUAUAAGGGAAUAAAGUGAGUCUCGUGAGACUUUUUGCAUGUACCUUAUGAAUAAGGACCGGCUAAUUCCGUG
RNAcentral lists this ribosomal RNA (493 nucleotides) under uncultured bacterium. RNAcentral describes it as "bacterial SSU rRNA". It matches the Rfam family "Bacterial small subunit ribosomal RNA", at positions 28 to 507 of the family's 1533-position model. The record is from RNAcentral.